UACGUAGGGUGCGAGCGUUGUCCGGAAUUACUGGGCGUAAAGAGCUCGUAGGUGGUUUGUCGCGUUGUCCGUGAAAACUCACAACUCAAUUGUGGGCGUGCGGGCGAUACGGGCAGACUGGAGUACUGCAGGGGAGACUGGAAUUCCGGGUGUAGCGGUGGAAUGCGUAGAUAUCCGGAAGAACACCUGAGGCGAAGGCGGCUUGCUGGGCAUGAUCUGACGCUGAGGCGCGAAAGCGUGGGGAGCAAACAGG
Molecule: ribosomal RNA, 253 nt
Filed under: uncultured bacterium
Lineage: Bacteria
Description: partial 16S ribosomal RNA
Rfam family: Bacterial small subunit ribosomal RNA
Source: RNAcentral